CGCCUCCGGGGCAGGUCAGAGCCCGCACGGCCCCUCACUCUCACCUGGGCUCCGGAGCCGUGUGCGCAGGUUCGAAUCCUGCGGGGGCACCCA
Molecule: transfer RNA, 93 nt
Filed under: Streptomyces sp. MC1
Lineage: Bacteria; Bacillati; Actinomycetota; Actinomycetes; Kitasatosporales; Streptomycetaceae
Description: tRNA-OTHER
Source: RNAcentral